RNAcentral lists this ribosomal RNA (450 nucleotides) under uncultured Glomeromycotina. RNAcentral's name for it is "SSU rRNA". It matches the Rfam family "Eukaryotic small subunit ribosomal RNA", at positions 569 to 1024 of the family's 1831-position model. Lineage: Eukaryota; Fungi; Glomeromycota. The record is from RNAcentral.
AGCAGCCGCGGUAAUUCCAGCUCCAAUAGCGUAUAUUAAAGUUGUUGCAGUUAAAAAGCUCGUAGUUGAAUUUCGGGAUCAAAUUGUCGGUCGUGCCUCGGUACGUACUGGUAUUAUUGGUUCCUACCUUCUGAAGAACCGCGAUGUCAUUAAUUUGGUGUCGUGGGGAAUCAGGACUGUUACUUUGAAAAAAUUAGAGUGUUUAAAGCAGGCUUACGCUUGAAUACAUUAGCAUGGAAUAAUGAAAUAGGACGUUUGAUUCUAUUUUGUUGGUUUCUAGGAUUGACGUAAUGAUUAAUAGGGAUAGUUGGGGGCAUUAGUAUUCAAUUGUCAGAGGUGAAAUUCUUGGAUUUAUUGAAGACUAACUACUGCGAAAGCAUUUGCCAAGGAUGUUUUCAUUAAUCAAGAACGAAAGUUAGGGGAUCGAAGACGAUCAGAUACCGUCGUAGU